This 254-nucleotide ribosomal RNA is filed under the name uncultured bacterium. Its description in RNAcentral is "partial 16S ribosomal RNA". It matches the Rfam family "Bacterial small subunit ribosomal RNA", at positions 1249 to 1500 of the family's 1533-position model. The record is from RNAcentral.
ACGAGCCUGCGAAGGCAAGCGGAUCUCUUAAAGCCGUUCUCAGUUCGGACUGUAGGCUGCAACUCGCCUACACGAAGCUGGAAUCGCUAGUAAUCGCGGAUCAGCACGCCGCGGUGAAUACGUUCCCGGGCCUUGUACACACCGCCCGUCACACCAUGAGAGUCUGUAACACCCAAAGCCGGUGGGAUAACCUUUAUAGGAGUCAGCCGUCUAAGGUAGGACAGAUGAUUAGGGUGAAGUCGUAACAAGGUAUC